AGAGAGUAGAGAGAAACACUAGAGAGAAAGAGAGGGUGUGUAUUGUUAAGCUUGUUGUAAGUUUAUUUUGUGUUUUGUAAGCUUGUGUUCUUGAAAUAAAACCUUGUGUUUUAUCCCCUCUGAGUGUUUCAAAGCCACCACUAGUGGUUCCUCCCACCAACAUAUAUUGUGUGUGGCUUAGACUAAAAGCAUGCUAUUAUCUGAGGGUCCAAAUAUGCCAGGGAAAUAUGAUGACAGCCAUGAUCUUGGGAUUUCAAGUCUAUGGAGGGUAGGAAGCAUGCAUGAAAGUAUCUUCCUGCAGCAUUAUUGGAUGGCUUUAUUGUGGAUUUUUUUGUUGCUUUCAUUUUCCUUGGGUGCUUGGUGUUCCACAGGGGCCCUUGAUCGCCUUUGCUCAGACAUCUUUUAAGCUUCAGGCUAUUCUGCAUUCUGUACCUUCGUAAACAUUGCCCUGGGCCUCUUUCAUCCUGAAGGUCCUGCUCAUUUUCUUACUCUGCUAUGAAUGUUGAGUUUGGAGGAUGUUUGAGUUUUUUAAUUUACUUUCCAUUCAUCUAUCUUUUUGGUGCUUUUCUCUCUUUCCCAUUGCUUCUGCAAUGUUAUUGCUGUUUUAUUGAAGAUGCUUCUGCAAUCAUUGAAGAUGCUUCUUUUGGCAUGGGGGAACCACGGUCAAUAACUUUUGUUUUUUGCAGGGAGAGGCUGUGCUGUCCUUGGGAGGUUGAGAAUGAGAGGGUUGAUUUUUUAUUCUUUCUAUUCUAUGAUGUGCAAAGGUCAGCAGUGCUGUGGGAAUAGAAAAUAAAUGGUGUUGUUGGAUAUUGAUUUUUUUUUCUCCCAAAAUCAUUUGUAUUUUCAGCCCUUGCUUGCUGCGACUACCAUGUUUGAUUUGUUAAUUAAUUCUCAUUGCUUAGUGUCACAUAAUUAUUCUCCUGCAAAAGCAAGAAUCAAAAUUCUCCAUUCA
Long non-coding RNA from Populus nigra (black poplar), 952 nucleotides. RefSeq lists it as uncharacterized. The transcript has 2 exons. The record is from RefSeq and is a predicted model, not a curated record. NCBI's taxonomy places the organism in Eukaryota, Viridiplantae, Streptophyta, Magnoliopsida, Malpighiales, Salicaceae.